This 1112-nucleotide ribosomal RNA is filed under the name Salmonella enterica. RNAcentral's name for it is "partial 16S ribosomal RNA". It matches the Rfam family "Bacterial small subunit ribosomal RNA", at positions 1 to 1102 of the family's 1533-position model. RNAcentral also lists the same sequence under 1 other name. Lineage: Bacteria; Pseudomonadati; Pseudomonadota; Gammaproteobacteria; Enterobacterales; Enterobacteriaceae. The record is from RNAcentral.
AAAUUGAAGAGUUUGAUCAUGGCUCAGAUUGAACGCUGGCGGCAGGCCUAACACAUGCAAGUCGAACGGUAACAGGAAGCAGCUUGCUGCUUUGCUGACGAGUGGCGGACGGGUGAGUAAUGUCUGGGAAACUGCCUGAUGGAGGGGGAUAACUACUGGAAACGGUGGCUAAUACCGCAUAACGUCGCAAGACCAAAGAGGGGGACCUUCGGGCCUCUUGCCAUCAGAUGUGCCCAGAUGGGAUUAGCUUGUUGGUGAGGUAACGGCUCACCAAGGCGACGAUCCCUAGCUGGUCUGAGAGGAUGACCAGCCACACUGGAACUGAGACACGGUUCAGACUCCUACGGGAGGCAGCAGUGGGGAAUAUUGCACAAUGGGCGCAAGCCUGAUGCAGCCAUGCCGCGUGUAUGAAGAAGGCCUUCGGGUUGUAAAGUACUUUCAGCGGGGAGGAAGGUGUUGUGGUUAAUAACCACAGCAAUUGACGUUACCCGCAGAAGAAGCACCGGCUAACUCCGUGCCAGCAGCCGCGGUAAUACGGAGGGUGCAAGCGUUAAUCGGAAUUACUGGGCGUAAAGCGCACGCAGGCGGUCUGUCAAGUCGGAUGUGAAAUCCCCGGGCUCAACCUGGGAACUGCAUUCGAAACUGGCAGGCUUGAGUCUUGUAGAGGGGGGUAGAAUUCCAGGUGUAGCGGUGAAAUGCGUAGAGAUCUGGAGGAAUACCGGUGGCGAAGGCGGCCCCCUGGACAAAGACUGACGCUCAGGUGCGAAAGCGUGGGGAGCAAACAGGAUUAGAUACCCUGGUAGUCCACGCCGUAAACGAUGUCUACUUGGAGGUUGUGCCCUUGAGGCGUGGCUUCCGGAGCUAACGCGUUAAGUAGACCGCCUGGGGAGUACGGCCGCAAGGUUAAAACUCAAAUGAAUUGACGGGGGCCCGCACAAGCGGUGGAGCAUGUGGUUUAAUUCGAUGCAACGCGAAGAACCUUACCUGGUCUUGACAUCCACAGAACUUUCCAGAGAUGGAUUGGUGCCUUCGGGAACUGUGAGACAGGUGCUGCAUGGCUGUCGUCAGCUCGUGUUGUGAAAUGUUGGGUUAAGUCCCGCAACGAGCGCAAC